CGUCAGCUCGUGUCGUGAGAUGUGGUUAAGUCCGCAACGAGCGCAACCCUUGCCAUCAGUUGCUACGAAAGGGCACUCUGAUGGGACUGCCGGUGACAAACCGGAGGAAGGUGGGGAUGACGUCAAGUCCUCAUGGCCCUUAUAGGUGGGGCUACACACGUCAUACAAUGGCCGGUACAAAGGGCAGCAAACCCGCAGGGGGAGCCAAUCCAUCAAAGCCGGUCGUAGUCCGGAUCGCAGUCUGCAACUCGACUGCGUGAAGUCGGAAUCGCUAGUAAUCGUGGAUCAGCAUGUCACGGUGAAUACGUUCCCGGGUCUU
This 319-nucleotide ribosomal RNA is filed under the name uncultured Hydrogenophaga sp. RNAcentral's name for it is "bacterial SSU rRNA". It matches the Rfam family "Bacterial small subunit ribosomal RNA", at positions 1053 to 1382 of the family's 1533-position model. Lineage: Bacteria; Pseudomonadati; Pseudomonadota; Betaproteobacteria; Burkholderiales; Comamonadaceae. The record is from RNAcentral.